Molecule: ribosomal RNA, 521 nt
Filed under: Dendrelaphis schokari
Lineage: Eukaryota; Metazoa; Chordata; Lepidosauria; Squamata; Colubridae
Description: partial 16S ribosomal RNA
Rfam family: Bacterial large subunit ribosomal RNA
Source: RNAcentral
AACAUAACCUUUAGCUUAACAAAUAUUAAAGGCAACGCCUGCCCAGUGAACAAUUAAACGGCCGCGGUACCCUAACCGUGCAAAGGUAGCAUAAUCAUUUGUCUACUAAUUAUAGACCUGUAUGAAAGGCAAAAUGAGGGUCUAACUGUCUCUUAUAGUACAUCAAUUAAACUGAUCUUCUAGUAAAAAAGCUAGAAUUAAUACAUAAGACCAGAAGACCCCGUGAAGCUUAAACUAAACUAUUAAACCUAAUAAUAACUACUUUCGGUUGGGGCGACCUUGGAAAAAAAAAGAACUUCCAAAUAACACAUGGUAUAACAUGAACUAAAGGCCCACAAGCCAUUACAAGACCCAGCUAAGCUGAUAAUUGAAACAAGUUACUCCGGGGAUAACAGCGCAAUCUUCUUCAAGAGCCCAUAUCAAAAAGAAGGUUUACGACCUCGAUGUUGGAUCAGGACAUCCUAAUGGUGCAGAAGCUAUUAAGGGUUCGUUUGUUCAACGAUUAACAGUCCCACGUGAUC